CCCUUAGAUGUUCUGGGCCGCACGCGCGCUACACUGAUGCAUUCAACGAGUCUAAAACCUGCUCUGAUAGGGGUGGGUAAUCUUUUGAAUGUGCAUCGUGAUUGGGAUAGAUGAUUGCAAUUUUUCAUCUUCAACGAGGAAUGCCUAGUAAACGCAAGUCAUCAGCUUGCACUGAUUACGUCCCUGCCCUUUGUACACACCGCCCGUCGCUCCUACCGAUUGAAUGAUCCGAUGAAUAUCAUGGAUUGAGGAUGCAAGUAGGUUCGCCUAUCUUCAUCUUCGAGAAGUGAAGUAAAUCUUAUCAUUUAGAGGAAGGAGAAGUCGUAACA
This 329-nucleotide ribosomal RNA is filed under the name uncultured eukaryote. RNAcentral describes it as "partial 18S ribosomal RNA". It matches the Rfam family "Eukaryotic small subunit ribosomal RNA", at positions 1470 to 1796 of the family's 1831-position model. The record is from RNAcentral.